Molecule: ribosomal RNA, 218 nt
Filed under: uncultured prokaryote
Description: partial 16S ribosomal RNA
Rfam family: Bacterial small subunit ribosomal RNA
Source: RNAcentral
CCCUACGGGGCGCAGCAGGCGGAUUUGUACGUCAGUGGUGAAAGCCUCCAGCUCAACUGUAGAAUUGCCAUUGAUACUGCUAAUCUUGAGUAUAGUUGUGGUAGGCGGAAUGUAGCAUGUAGCGGUGAAAUGCUUAGAGAUGCUACAGAACUCCGAUUGCGAAGGCAGCUUACCAAGCUAUGACUGACGCUCAGGCACGAAAGCGUGGGUAGCAAACA